Gouania willdenowi (blunt-snouted clingfish) is the source of this 6167-nucleotide long non-coding RNA. The record is from Ensembl. NCBI's taxonomy places the organism in Eukaryota, Metazoa, Chordata, Actinopteri, Blenniiformes, Gobiesocidae.
CUGUGCAGGCUUUAUGUGCUACAUAUCUCUGAUUAAACAGAUAUGUAUUUUUAACUGUUUCUGUUUCAGGAGAGUGCCGGGCAGGAUUUUAUUGUGAUUGGGGAUCGAGCAGAGCAGAUCGGGCUCUGUGUCCAGCCGGGUUUUUCUGCCCCCGGGGUACGUCAGCUCCAAUUCCUUGUCCUGCUGGAUCAUUUAGUCCUGAAACGGGCAACACGAAUCAAAACAACUGCACCAUCUGUGCUGCUGGAUACUACUGUGAUGGUGAAGAUACGGUGCAGCCUGCACUUUGUCCUGUUGGACACUACUGCCCUGCAGGCCUGAGUUAUGGAAUGAAGUUUCCAUGUCCACUUGGUACGGUGCAGAGCCAGCGGGGAGUGUCAAGCCUAGAUGGAUGCCUGCCUUGCCCUGCUGGAUCAUUCUGCUCUGAAUCUGGUCUUGUUAAGCCUAGCGGCAUGUGUGAGGCAGGAUUCUACUGUCCAGCUGGAUCGACCAGCCCAAACUCUACUGAGUAUCAGAUGAAUUCUUCCACGGGCUAUUUGUGUCCAUUUGGCCACUACUGCCCUGCAGGCACUGGUUACCCUCUCCCCUGCCCUGUGGGAUCCCUUUCUGUUUUUCAAGGACUAAAGGCAGCCGGCGACUGCACACCAUGCCCUCCUGGACUCUUUUGUGACAAACCUUCAAUGGCAAAGGUCUCAGAAGCUUCUCCGUGUCAGGCUGGGUAUGUUUGCUUGGGUGGAAGCUCCAUUCCCACCCCAUCCGACGGUCUCCAUGGUUACCGCUGCCCUGCAGGCCAUAGCUGUCCUGUUGGCUCAGCGACUGAAGUACCUUGUGAACCUGGCACAUAUAGUCCGGUCCCCGGGGCAGCCCAGUGCAUAACAUGCCCCAAAGGCACCAUGUGUUCCUCCUUAGCUACUCAAGUGCCUUCUACCUGCCCCGUUGGGAAAUACUGUCCUACAGGGAUAGCCGACCCUCUGCCAUGCCCUUUUGGGACAUUCAGUAACCGGACAGGUGCAGAUUCCCUCUCCACUUGCACACCCUGUCCCUCUGGUGUGUACUGUAGCUCUACUGGAGCCUCAGCACCACAAGGUCCAUGUUUGCAGGGUUACUUCUGUCAAGCUGGAGCAACGGAGCCAACACCUCAGAGCUCUGACAACUUUCCUAGGAAUGGCCUUUGUCCUGUAGGACAUUACUGCCCAGAAGGCUGCCUUUCUCCAAUCCCAUGUCCAGCUGGUAGCAUCCGUAACACAACUGGCGGCGUUUCCAUGGAGAGCUGCACUUCCUGUCCUGCGGGUCAAUAUUGCUCGACUGAAGGUCUGUCUAACCCCACAGGCCAUUGUGCAGCUGGUUUCACCUGCCCCUUUGACUUCUCUUCAACCACACCAUUUGCCUUCCUUUGUCCAAAGGGUUACUUCUGUCCAAGAGGAGCAGCCCUGCCUUUGCCUUGUCCCACAGGAGAAUACCAGCCUAAUUCUGGUUCAGACAGCUGCAUCCCUUGCCGACCUGGUUUCUACUGUGAGGAGGCUAUAGAAGGAGAACCCAGACCCUGUCCACCACAUUCAUUCUGUCCUGCUGGUACAAAGGUACCUCAGCCAUGUCCAAAAGGAACGUACACUUAUUCAGAGCAGGAGGGACUCCAGGAGGAAGGACAGUGUUUGCCCUGUCCCCCAGGGAAGUUCUGCAGGGCUGGGAGGAUCCAGGGAGCUUGUGCUGCCGGGUAUCUUUGUGUUGCUGGGAGUGCAGAUUUCAUGCCUCAGAGUGAAAUAUCUAAUAUGAACCAGUGUCAGUGGGGAGUGCCGUGCGCUGGACCUUGUCCUCCAGGUUCCUAUUGUCCUGAAGGAACAAAAGAGCCACAUUUCUGUCCUGAAAAUACCUUCAGAAACUCCUCGGGAGGUGCCAGUACACAAGACUGUUUACCCUGCCCAUCCGGAUAUUGGUGUAAAGCAGGAGAUCCAAUCAUUACUCUGUGUCCUGAUGGCUACUACUGUACUGAUAUAUUAUUUAGUGACCAUGAUGAGACAUCUGGACCCAGGCCGUGUCCACUCUACACUUAUCGAGCUUCCCCUGGAGCAAAAAACAAGGCUGACUGCUUGCCCUGCCCUCCUGGUUCACACUGUAACAGCACAGGGCUUACAGACUUCUCCAGCAGCCUCUGCCCACCUGGCUUUUGGUGCAGCGGGUCUGGACCUCCCAUUUUCUGCCCAGCAGGAACCAAAAGGCCACUUUCUGGAGCAGCUGCACCAAACCAAUGUGAACCCUGUGCAGGAGGAACGUUCUGCCCGGACCCCAGGGACACAGGAAUCCCUAACGUAGAGGGGAUUCCCUGCAGGGCUUCAUAUUACUGUCCAGUUGGUGCAGUUUCGGAGAUAUUAUGCAGUGCUGGCUCAUACUGUGGACCAGGGACAGCUGAGCCCCAAAUAUGUCCGGAGGGUUAUUAUUGUCCGGUGGGAUCCCAAUUCUAUAACCACUCAAAACAACUCUGCCUAUUUCCAUACUAUUGCCCAGCCAACAGUUUUACAAUGAAAUUAUGUGAAGGGGGUUCAAUGCCCGUAAAUACAAAUGGCGUCAGAGGAUUCCAAAACACAAGCUGUAGUUUAUGCGAAGUCGGCACCUAUCGGCCAUACCUCUCCCCAAACCUGGAAUGUGAUCCCUGUCCAUCUGGUUACUACUGCCCCAGAGGUACAGACAACUACAAGAAACACCCUUGUCCUAUUGGUUAUGUCUGCCCCACGGGAUCUAACCAUCCAAUAUCUUGCCCUCCUGGAUCAUUUGGCAACUUUACAAAUGGUGAAAAAAUAAGUGACUGCCAUUCAUGCCCAGUUAACACCUUUAAUCAUCUGCCCGCCCAGAGGGCCUGCUUUCCCUGUGGCAGCUCAUCCACUUCACCGUCUGGCUCUUCUUCUUGUACAUGUAUUGGUCAAAAUCGUGCUUUCCAGUAUUCGGAUGGAUCAUGUUUAUGCAGGACUGGCUUUAUUUUCUACAAUCAACUGGAUUUUAAAAGAGCUACUGCUGACAGUAAAUUGGACUGUCAACCUGAGGUGAACAAACGCUGCUCUACAGGGGAGGUGCGUUUGGCAGCAUCCCGAGAGUGUGUAUCGCCAACACGUCACUCCUGUAAUAUCACUUGUAGUCCAUCGGGAGGAACUCUUGAUGUGGAGAUGGGCAUGUGAGACAUUUUCAGGUCAUGAAUUCAUUUUCGGUGGAGUUCCCUGGUCUGAAUAAGAAAACAAAAAAAUAUAUUGUGUUAAAACUGCUAAUGUGAGCCAAAGUCAAAUUAAAAUAAAAUGAAAGCUUCUGGUGAUCUACACCUUCUCCCUUAUCUGGCAUCAACAGCUGCCAGUGCGAGCAAUAUGUGUCAGCUGAAGAGCUUUGCAACACCUCCUGCCUUUCCAGACUGCCUCAACUCUCUACUCAGCUCACGGCAGAGGAAAAGCUGCUGCUCGUCGUCAAAGAGAAUGACAAAGAGGUCUGGGCGAGGACAAUGAUACAUGUUUUAGGCCCAGAUGUCCAUGCAAAGACUUUUGGGAAAACACAUCUGGUCCUAUUUUCUUCUGAAGGAGUGUUUGGUUUCAUCCCCACGAAAAAAGACUUAAUCGCUAAGUUUCUCUCAGAGCCAAGAGCUAGAACAAAGAGAGACACGGAGGAGGAGGAGGAGGAGGAGGAGGAGGAGAUUUUACCUCUAAUUCCAAACCCAAUUGCUUGUCUUACUACUGGAGACAUGCUCCUUUUCCAUCUUACCAUCAACCAUAAUGAUCGUCAUUCCAGCCACUUUCCAGUCUACGUGAAAGAUCACCUGUUUAACAGCAACCCCAGCUGGGACUUUGGAGCCUUCAGAAACCUGCAGACACUCAUCAAGCAGACCAACCUAAACUCGACCCUGUUCGCCCAUGUCUUCUCAGAGCCUGGGAAGUAUGUGUUUGUGGACAAUGCCUUCUCUCAGAGGAGUUUGGUGGUAGUAGUUUGUGAUGAGGACACAGUGUGUGACCACAGAGCUGCUGUAUUUCAGCCCAUGACUUCAGCACAGUUAGUCAAGCACGGCAUUGUCAAGCAGCAUAAACUCAACCUCCUACCUGACUGGGGAGUUAUUGCAGGGGUCCUCAGCACACUCUUGCUUGCGGUCAUACUUCUGACCUCCACAUUUCUAGUUCUACGCCCUGGGAAAACAAAGCUUGUGUCCCAGUGUAAGAUUAAACCGAAAUGGCGCAGUCUCGGGGAGCCUUUCUGUCCAAUGGAGUGCGUUUGUAGCAGAGAAAGAGGUGUAGGAGAAGGAGCUGAAGCGGAAGAGCCAAGUAUUAAAAAAGGAGGCUACUGCAAUUUGGAGGAGUUCAAUGUGAAAACACUGUAUGACAAGCUGGAGGAUCAGAACCUCCACGUAGCCUCACAACUGGCUCACCACCGCAAAGACAUUCAAGAGUUUUAUAGAAAUAUGUGUCAACAAACUGAAUCACUUAAGAAUGUUUUGGAGACUAUGGACCAUAAAAAAAUGAAUCUGUUGAAGGAUCUGCUGUGUCAUAAGGUGAUGAAGGACAAACUAUUCAAUACCAGUGUGGAGGAGAGGGACGCACAAGAUGCCUCCACGUCAUUAAUGGGAGCUGUCCUCCAAUCAGUGGAAGCUCUUUUAUACAGGCUGUCCCAAGACUCUUGGCAGAACCAGGACUUGUUCCAAUGCGAAAUCAGUCCUCCCGAUGAGUGUACGCCACAGUUUCCAUCACCAAUGAAAACAGCUCUUCCAACACACGGAACAGAACUAAACCAGAGCACAAUUCCCAGCCUGACUGACCAUGACCUAUCUAAGCUGAUCACCAUUUCUCCUCUACACGAGACCUUAAAGCUGAUCCAGACGUCACUAGAAAACCUCACCAAAAGUGAUCUUCAAAAUGCGGCCUCAGAGGAUUUAGAUCAAUGUAAUAAUGAUCAGCGACUUGUCCCAGUCGCUCUGGAUGACCUCCCCCCACAACACUCUGCGGUCUUCCUGUUUGGAUGUCAAGUGAUGCAAUUGCUUGUGAACUGCCCUUUGUUUCCCCCUGUGCUCCUGCUGCUGGCCAAGUCAAUCCCCUCUUCUUCAUUGUCGUGUAAUGAGAGUCUGCUGGUACAUUGCUCAAGGGACUUUUAUUUUGAUGCAACCAAUCAAAUCCUCUAUCUUCCUGAGGCAAAGCUCCAUCAUGUGGGACAUUUCAUUGCAAUCCUGGUGCAGUCCAUGGCCCACAUAGCAUCAGGAUCCAAACCACAGAGGUUUAUACAAGCUCUUCAUGAGGCUAUUUCAGCUCUAAGCCUACAGCUCUUCAACCUCUCCAUUCAGUGCAGCACAGCAGAGUCAAUUCCUAAGGCGUCAGAUGAUCAACAUCGUUCCUUGGGAGAUGAGUUUCUCCACAUCAGAUUUCCCUUUGAGACGAGCUUCACAGAACACACGCUAGCCAGCAGACUGGAGAAAUUUAGAUAUUUCAAAUUGGAGCAGCUCAUCUCAAUCAUCGAACAAAGAACUUCCCAGAAAAAUGAAACAGGUUUGCCACCAAAAGUGACAUCGAUGCAGGUGUCAUGCAUAGAGGAGGAAAUUGACCGUUUGAAUGAGCUUUUCCUGUUGCUGAGCAUGCAGCUGCAGGGAAGAGCACAAAUUAGCACCCUGUUAAAGGAAAGGGAGAGCGCUGAUGAAAAGCCAUCUCUGAGGGCAAAUGCAACAAGCAUGUCAAGUCUGAGUCGUAAUGGAACAAUCCUCCUGGAGCUGAAGAGAAGCUAUGUGUCACAGCGGCUCGAUGAGCUCCAUACUAUGUUAGGUCAGAUCAGACAGCGCCAGCAGCACAACAACAAGUGGAAAGAUGAGACAAGAGGCUUUCCACAAGCAGAAAGCAGCACUUCUCCACAAGAGACAUGGAAGUGUUAUUCUGGUCAAAAGGGGGCUAACGUUAACCCCGCUGAUGGCCAGCGGGUGGACAGUGUUUCACAAAGUCAGGAUCGCAGGCAAUUUACCAUUGAGAGCAGAGGUCUCAGUGACUGUUGAGCAUUGCCUUGGAAAAACUAGCAGAGAGAUGAGACAUCCUCCCACACAUUAGUGGACUACCAGAUGGCAGAAGGAUAUUUAUCACUUUCUCUGGUAAACAGAAGCUAAGCACCUAGCUGAUCAGCACUGGGACAGUGCAAUCACAAAUAAAUACUAAUUACUAGUAUGGAAAACA